AGCAGUCGCCACGGUAAAACAGAGGGUGCGAGCGUUAAUCGGAUUUACUGGGCGUAAAGCGUGCGUAGGCGGCUUUUUAAGUCGGAUGUGAAAUCCCUGAGCUUAACUUAGGAAUUGCAUUCGAUACUGGGAAGCUAGAGUAUGGGAGAGGAUGGUAGAAUUCCAGGUGUAGCGGUGAAAUGCGUAGAGAUCUGGAGGAAUACCGAUGGCGAAGGCGACCACCUGGACUGAUACUGACACUGAGGUGCGAAAGCGUGGGGAGCAAACAGGAUUAGAUACCCCCGUAGUCCCUGUCUCUUAUAC
Molecule: ribosomal RNA, 303 nt
Filed under: uncultured bacterium
Lineage: Bacteria
Description: partial 16S ribosomal RNA
Rfam family: Bacterial small subunit ribosomal RNA
Source: RNAcentral